GGCAGGCAACAACUGCAGAAGCACUGUUCCAUCCCUCCACUUGCUCCUUCAAAUAGAUUGCUUGCUGGUAGACAAAGCCCACUGGCCUGAGAACUACUGCCUGCCCCUUUCUAAGCAGUUAGACACAAUUCUGAACAGAUACGCAUUUGCAGUUUUCACACUUAGUGGUGAACUUGUUUUUCUUCUCCUCAAACUGGUAAUAUCAAUAUGGAGAGCACAUCAACCACCCCUUCUGAAAAGCCUUAGCCUGACUUUUGUCAAAAGCUGAGAGGGGAUACCCCAUCUGGUUGAAGCAGCUGUUUGUGAACACAAGAACAAAGCGUGACCUGAAUACAUAAGUAACUGUUGAGUCACUAAAUCGGCACUGUGACUGCUACAAGUUCUCAUAUAUAGAAGAACUUCACAAGAAAUGAGUAAUGUCUCUGGAAGACUCUGGAAGUUCAGCGGUCAGCAGAUAACUUUGGGUACUACCAGCCUGAAGUGGAUAGCUGCUAACCUGUCCUCUGUCAUCCUCAAGCACCUUGCUUUUACCCAAGAGGUAAAUAUAUUGUAUGCAGUUGUGUAUGAAUGUCACAAGAACCCAUUCCAUUUUUAGGGUUAUUUCCAUUUUGUUGCAUCUAAAAAAAGUUCAAGAAAUUAUUUAUUUGGAAACAAGGUAUUCAGGUCGGGCAAUCGUGCAAACACUGCUUUAAGAACAUGUUUUUGGCUGCAGACUCUUCUCUCUGCAUUUAUCUAUGUUACUAUAAUGUCUUCCUGCACUCUGCAUCAUCGAAGAUGCACUUUAUUGCAUGGGAGCCUUCCACUUACACGUUCAUCUAUCACCUCUUGCAAACACACAGUAUAUUUAAAAAUCGAGCACUCCUUUUCUGGAAUGUGUAAUUGAGUCUUUGCUGCAAGCCUGUUUGCUGCAAGCCUGAGAAUGGCUUGCAAGCUCAAAAAUAUACUGACUAUAUGAAAUUGCAGCACUCCGAACACUGUAUAUCUUACUCCCUUCCCAACUUACCUUCACAAAGGCAUUAUUUGUGGCACCAGAAUUCUCAUUUCUAGUAAGUCGGUUAAACAGUGGAAUUCUUCCAGAUACCACAGUUCUUCAGUAAGAUAUGUCUUACUAGUUAUCUAGGCUGUCUGUGAUCCUCAGUGGCCCUGCAGCCUUCAUCUGUCACUGCCAGCAUCACAGCAACCCGUCUGGUCUUAUCUUGAGAUUUCUCUUACUGUGAGCAUAUUCAUCCAUUAUUAGCCAGUGAUAAGCAAUUGCUUUUUGGCAUAACAAUAUUUCUGUAUUCCCCAGAAAAAUGAAAGAAAUAAGACUUUUUUUUUUUUUAAACCCAAGCUUCAGCUGAAAUUCUAAGCUGGUUUGCCCGACCUCUUUGUGGGUUAUUAACUGUCUUGUUGUAGCUAUUAAAAGCAGUCAGUGCUGCAAUACCAGUACAAGGUAUCGAUAUUAUCUUGCAUACCCUUGGUAUGCAAGGGGACUCGAGUCCCCUUGUUUGUGUUCUGGCCUGGCCAGGGGUGAACCUGCACCAGCCUGGAGCCACCUAAUGCUGGCAUCAGGGCCCUGUGCGAACAAGGAAGGGCCUACGAAACCACGUUCUUCAACACAGCAUGUAUCAGAUAUGAGAAGUUAUGGUAAUUAAAUCCUUGAUACGGAAGAACAUACAACCCAAAUGAUUUUACGUAUCAGAAAUGUGGUGCUAACGUUGCUCUUUAUAAAAGAAACAUCAAGAAAAAGGUCACUGAAGUGAUAAAGAUGUUGGGUUUUGUGAAAAGAGUAAAAACAAAUAAAAGAUGAACUUUAAAGAUACUUCUGUAGAGGGAAAGGGGAAAAGAGCGAAGCCCACUUCACUGCUAAUACUGAGCGUGCAUUGCUCAAAACGGACAUCACACGCAGGGUGAGAAAACUAAAGCCUGAGUCAGGGCAAAGAUAAGGUAGUUGAUUCAGUGACCUCAGAAGACAAAUCUGCUUCCCUCCUUUGUUUCAAAAUUGACAGCUAUUUUAACUUCACUUAUACAAACAGAGGACUUCUGACUAAGCAGUGAGGUCUGUGAUGACCUCCAUCUGCAUUAUAAAGCUUUCAGAUUUGCUUUUCCUGUCUGCUUUAAACUCAAAACUUAACAACAAACAAGAAAACAAAAACCUUCCAGUUCUAAACUUAAAUCAGUCUAUGCUUGUAAAUUCUGUGGAAGGUGGCUGGAGCUGCAAUAGUUUUGCAGUCAUUCGUUGAAAGAAGUUAUUUUUAUAACAAUGUACACUACAACAUCGAGUUGAGGAUAACACUGGACAGCACCAUCCAACUUCGAUGACCCACUGUCUUGCUAUAGGAUAAAGCAUAAACAGGGUUGUCUUGCUGGUAACCUCAUUUCAUACACAAUAAGGUAUCAUUCCUCUUGCAUGCAAGUAAGGCCUUGAGCUGUAACCUCACUGACCAGACAGCAGUGGAAGAGUCCCUCCAACUCCUUGCACAGGUUCCAGUUGUCUUUUCUCUAUCAUUCACAGCUAUUACAGCGAAAAAAAGGUUGGUUUCAUGACUAUACAGGAAAUAAUGCAGAUGAUCUGUUUUUAAGACUAAUGUGAGACACUGCAAGAAAGGGAUAUGAAGUACCAACAAAUUCCCCCCAAACAUAUUUCUGGAAGUUUAUCCAAUCAUUGUCAUCCAAGAGGACAGUCAGUCCCUUAAGCAGCAAAAGCUCCAUCGUAAUAACUUCUGCUGUUUAGAAAUAAUAGCUAUUGUAAAUAAAAAAUAAAAUCUGUAUCUGUUGUCAGAUAAAAAGUUGCUAAUGUGCUCUCUGUUGUCUUUGCAUGCCAUGCUUUAUUUCAGUAUAAUACCACAGCAUUCCCUGGCAACUGUCUCCAUGGUGGCUGUACAAGGCGCCAUGGUGGAUUUGCACAAGCUCCCAUCCAGCUCCUUCCCAAGCAGGAAGACAAAUAUUGUAGAAGACAACCUUGCACAAGAUAAGAUGGAAGAAGAUGGAGAGUACUAAGGCCGACCCUGCUUCAAGAGGAACAAACAUGAAAUGAAAUGAAAAGAAAUGCUUUGUCUGCAUGAGAAGACUGUGCAGUGUAAGAGGGAAAAAAUUACCACGUAUAAAGGCAACCCGUAAUAAAACAAGGAUCACAACUUUUCAGAUAGGAGUGCCUUUAAAGAUAUGAUAUCCAUUAGACAUGGACCUGAAUGUAUUUUUGGGGGGUCUAUUUUAAUUAACUCUCUUCAUCUUGAAGGUUCUGUAAGUAAUUGGCAAAGUAAUUAGUGCAGUGACUUCACCAGGAAAAGAAGUAGCCCUGUGUGCCCAUGGCAAUUCUUGCAAGGCCCUGCUGUUAGCAUGCGUUCCUCAGAAGGAUCCCAUCACAUUGCCCUGAGUUGCUGUGGGACUGGCCAGAAAGUCAUGACUGUUAAGAAAAAUUUGAACACGUACAUAUUGGCACAUGCUACAUACUUCAGUUGUCCUAUUUUAGCCAAGAGGAGAUUUGAUGAUUUGAAAUGGUCUGUUCUGCAUAAUAAUAUUUUCUGUUGUGAAAGGGGGCUUGUUAGUUAGAAGUGCAAUGGCUUCUCAGGAGAUGGGUACCAGUACUGUAUCACAGAUCUGCAACACACUAGAUGCAAAUAUGCUUGGCAGCAGACCCAGAAAAAGCUGGAAGAGAAAUGUAAUGCUGUAACCAGUUGCAGCUGGUUUGGUUAAGACUGCAUUAAACGAACCAGAAGUUUCGAACCCCUCUUCUCCAGGGCUGUGGUGCAAGCUGGUUUUCAAGGUAGCUGUGUGCACAGCAAAAGAAGGCUGCACCCAGGCAGAUGAUCAUGGGAAUCUGAAGGCAGGAUGCUAUAGAUAAAAGCAUGCUAGAGCCAGAACCGCUGUCACACAGUUUAGCAGUGAAUUAUAUUGAACAAAUUAACUAAAAUCUGUCUCUCUUUGGAGAGCUAUGCCAAGCACUACCCACUUCUGCAGCAGCUCGAUUAUCUCACUUUCCUAGAAUCACCUUCUACAACUUGUCAGUUAUCUGUCUCUUGCUAUCACACUUCAGAGAGCAGCCACAGUGCUGACAAUCCUUAGCCUUCUACAGUGUGCAAAGACAGAGACCAUACACCGAGUAACAUGUACCCAAGCGACACACUUCUGAUUGUGAAGAAUCGAAGUAAAAUGCAGACUGGUGAUCAGGCACUUCAAUUAGUUAUUCAAAUCAAUCUGCCACUCUGUCACAAGUGUGUUACUACCAUCUAUGACACCGCCACAAAGUCUGGAUUUGUCAGAGGGAUCUCUCCAGUAUCUCCACGUACCUGCAUAAUUCAUACACAUACACAAAAAAGAGUACCUCGUUGAAUUUCACCCUAGAUGGGUAUCAGAAAAGAAAUGAAAUUAAAUGGUUGCUUUUCAAGACCAAGAGAACUAUAUUUUUCAAGGGUUACUGAGUACCUAACACUGUGUUCUGCAGGCAACGAUGACCGCAGCGCAGCAUCUACCUCUAGCAUCACUUUCAGCAAGAGCAUUUCACAAUAAUACUGAGAUGGAAAUGAGUAACAGGACCAAGUGCCUGGUGGAGAAAGCCCUGCACAGUGAAUUAAGUGCCACUCUACAUUAUUCCACCCUGUCAGGAAGCCAACAAGGGUCAGGCACUCUCAUCAUCACGAAACUGAAGGGGUUGCCAAAUAUCCUGGAUAAGCAGAGCUCAUAACUCAGACCAAAACUGAAACCAAAUGAAAUGAUCAUAAGCAUCAAUAAUGGAAUAAAGCAGGGGAAAAAAAAACCUCUAUAUAAGUCAAUUCAUGUAGAAAUACCCUUCCUCUGCAACUAUACUGGCAAUAAAAAUUGCUGUUCCAUCACAGGACCAGAAAAUGCUACCAGGAUCUUGAAAUAAUUGAACUAUAAAGGAAGUCUGAAGUGUACUGCUAUGAUUAAGGGAUAGGAGCAUGACAUACAAGGAGAGCCUGACACAGCCAGGAUCGUUCAGCCCAGAGGGAACAGCUUGGUGGAAUCUUUUCAAUGUGUAUAUAUACCUGAUGGGGGGAACAGAGAAGACAAAGCCUGGCUCUUCUUAGAGGUGCCCAGUGGAGAACAGGCAGAGGUACAAAUUCGAACAUGGGAAAUCCCACUUAAAAAUUAAAAAACACACAUUUUUUACUGUGCCACAGUGUUCAUGUACUGGCACAGGCUGCUCCACAGGCAGCUUGUGGAGUCUCCGUCCCUGGAGAAAUUCAAAAACUGCUCAUACAAAGAAUCACAGAAUCCUGAGAGGGAAGGGACCCACAAGGAUCAUCAAAUCCAACUCCUGGUUCCACACAGGACCACUAAAAUUCAAACCCUAUGUCUGAGAGCAUUGUCCCAAUGCCCCUUGAACGCUGGCAGCACGGGGCUGUGACCACUACCGUGGGGAGCCUGUUUGAGUGCCCAACCACCCUCUCAGUGAAGAAUCUUUUCCUAAUCCCCACCCUGACUGCACUCUGACGUAGCUGCAUGCCAUUCCCUUGCAUCCUGUUGCUGCCACCAGAGAAGAACUCGGCGCUGCCCCUCUGCUCUCUGUGAGGCGCUGUAGGCUGCCAUGAGGCCUCCCCUCAGCCUCCGCUCUGGGCUGAGCAAACCAAGGAACCUCAGCCACUCCUCAUACAGCUUGCCCUUCAGACCCUUCAGUGCACCCUUUGGAUACUCUCUAAUAGCUCUAUGUCCUUCUUAUAUUGCCGUGCCCAAAACUGCAUGCAGUGCUUGAGGUGAGGCCGCACUAGUGGAAAGCAGAUGAAGGCACGGUCCUUAACGGCCCGCUGACUGCCCUGAGCAGCAGAGUUGAAUUAGAUAAUCACCAGAGGUCUCUUCUUACCACAACCACUCUGUGUUUCCCCUCAAAAAUAAUAGUCCAGAGGUUCUACUGUUGUGAAUGUGCAAGAAAACUGAUAGCUUGUAAUUGUACUCUUAACUCCUAGCUUUCCUUUAAACAUUCUGGCAUUUAGGACUGUGAAAAAAGCCUUCAUAAAGUGAACAGAGGAUUAUCCAUAAUGUGAAGUUAGAGGCUUUUCGGCAGAUGUAAGCAAACAACUGUAAGAAGGUGUGAAUUGUUCUAAUUAACUCCACAGGCACAUAGCUGGAAAGCUACACAGUGGCAAUUUAAAUGCCAGCAUUUCAUUGUCAAGCGCUUCAACAGAAAUCCUUCGGGCCUGUACAUUUCACAGUCCCCUAAGGGCUAGCACAUUUUCCAGGGUGACAGCAGUGCCACAGAAAUCAAAACCUUGAGGUCUCCUUUCUACAGUGCAGGUACGGUGGUCUCCAGAACAACACAAGUUAAGUUAAAAAUAGAAAGUCUGGCAGCAGACUAAGCAGGAAAACAGUCAUUGGCAACUUAAGGAGAAAUGGAAACUAUAGCCAGGUUCACUCUAACUUCAAGUCCUAUUUAUUAAAAUCCUGACUGUCUUAACUAACCUAGAGGUUACCCAAAAUUCAGACCUAGUUGCAAUAAAUGGAUGCAGAAGUUCAGUUUGCUGCAGAGCAGAGGAGGCCACAGUCACAGCACAAAUACAUGAAUGGGCACAUUUAGUAGGUUGGACAGCCACAUAUGCAAGAUCACAACAUCUAGAUUACAACAUAAACCUUAAAGCGUGCUAAAGAAGGGAUUAGGCAUGAAGAAACAUGCAAACUAUUUCAUUCUAAAGAAUGCAAUACCUAUGCAACGUAACAAGCUUAAUUAUUUGUCACAUUCAAAUUAAAACUCUAAACAUUCAAGAGGCAUUUUCAACUGCAGUCACAGAAGACAGUAAAAAAUAAGUGUAGUCAGAGCCAUGUCAAGGUAAGUUAAAUGGCAAGGUUUCACAUAGCUGGAAGAUAUGGACUUGCCUUCACCCUGCUCAGAUCCCAACAUUCCCACAAGCUACUAGAGAAAGAAGAGAUUAGCCUACUAGAUCCCCUGAUCCAGCUUACAAGGUGGCCACAUAAAUGUUGGUACCACUGUGUUGGAGAGUGUGCAAAGAUGUGGCCCAGGGAGCAGGCAUAUUUGCUCCUUUUAGUUUCUUAAAUUUAGUAUGGAACUGCUGCUUCAAAGAAAUAGGAGGGUGUGAGCAUGAAGGGAACAGGAAAAAACAUUCUGUAGUUGUAAACGUAUGUGAAUCUUUGUUACACAUAUUACUAUUAUUCCACUAACUGCAUUAUCAGUAAAAAUACAACUGACAAAACUGUUACACUGUUCCCAAUUAUUAUUAUUAUUUUUACUGAUCUAUGCAACUGAUUUAAUAUUAGCUUACCAGCAUUUCUGAGGAGGAAGCAUGGGCUGUCUAUCAUCUUACAGCUCUGGCACCAGUGGAUGGAAUUCAGAGAGUCAGUGCUAUUCAUGGACCACAAGACCCAAAAACCCACACCUUCCAGUUCCAUAAGUCUAUUUAACUCACAUGAGAUUCAUUUACCACAAGUAAAAUUACCAUUUCGAAAGUCAUAGUACAUUUCCACAAAACAAUGGAAUGAAUAAAAAAAUACUGUCUGAGACCGGUAAGGAGUGUGUCAAAUCAACAUGUGAUCAGCAUCACUUUGUGGACAGUUUUACAUUUGAAAGCAUUUUUUUGGAGUUGUUUGCCUUUGAAAGAGAGGGCCCAGGAGUGUUUAUUGGUUGAAGACUUGGCCUCGGAGCAAAUGAAAGUAGCUUGAUACAGGAGACUGGGAGAUGAUGCAGAUUGUAUCCUGUGAAGGCAAGAUACAAGCUGGCCUCUCCCUGUUUCCUCUUAUCUAUUGACUUAAAUUUGCACAGCUUGGAAGACAGGAACAAAGGAGUUCCUACUGAGAUCCCAAAGCCAGAAGCUGUCACUCCAAAAGAGCAGGCUCGAUCGCUUUGAUCUAUAAGUAAGAGUUAGUAUUGUCAUUUUGAGUAGUCAUCAACUGAACAACAGCCAGCAACCCAUCACUACUGAAGAUCAGCACCUAACACCAAGACAUCGCUGGAUCGUGGAGUGGUGAACCGCUUUGCUUUGCUGUGUCUACACCUGUCUGCCUCUCUUUCCCCAUCUUCCAUCAUUUCUCUUUAUCUUCUUCUAUUCUUUUACUCUUUGUAGUAACUGUGGCCUAAUAUUGUCUUACCUGUAAUGCUUACUAAUCAUAAUUAGCAAAUUAGCCAAUUUUACCUCCAAGUAGAGUUAAGUUGUUGUUAAGAAAGCUGUCAGUAAAUUGAUGUGUAUUAUUCCAGUGAGUCUUGGAUGACUCCAUCGCAGUAGUGAUCCCUGCUGACCAGGGGAGGUGCGACUGGGAGACAGAAGAAGAUUCACCACCCUUGAACCCUACUGUGUAGGACUAGACAAUUACCUAUAGAUUCAACUGUUUCACAUUGGCAAUGUAAGUGAAGGACAGUAGAAGUCUCUUGGUGAAACAGAGAAAAUACGAAAUAUUCUUACACUACAUGCAGAUUUGCGGGGAGAAAAAGAUACUCCCCAAACCCAUGGUUGGAGUCUUGGACAAUAUUAAUGAAUCACUGGAAAAGGAAUCGUGAAUGUCACCCAUCUGGAUUUCAUGAAGGCAGGUUUGAUUUACAGAAUGAGUCAGUGAGAUAGUGGAAAACUAUUAAAACACAUUAAAGAUUGGCUAAGGGUCAGGAACACCAGCAUAAGAUCAAGUCUUUAAUUUAUCUAGAGAUCUGGACUGAACUACAUUGUCUGGCUUAUAACCGAUCUGUUUUCUGUCAAAAGGAACCAGUCAUAUAAAACAAGAGAUAAAAAUGCCCUUUUAAAGUAACUGUUAGAAAGUCUUCAUUCCUUCUCCCUCCAUUUUGCUGAGCCAAAAAAGGUCUUUUUUUCUCUUCCUAAGAGGAAAGGCUGAAGCUACUGAAUUGUUUUGAAUGUGUCUUUGCAUGGGUUGCAGCUUUGAUACUACUGUAAUUUUUGGGCAAACUGUGUUUGACAUGGGCAAUAUUUCUAUAUUUACUUUAAUUGUUGAACAAAAGUGAACUCAUAUGGAUAGCGAUAGCAAUCCAGAAAAGUCUACACAUCUGCAACUAACUCUGUAUGCUUAUUAAGGUACAAAACACUUCAGAAAGGAAGGAGAGUAGUUCCCUAAAUCUAUCCAAUACUUUUGAACAAUGUACUAAAGAAAUUGCUGUAUUCCCUUCUCAAAUUAUUAACAAUUCACCACAGAUUAUCAGGGAGUUAUCAUUACUUCUGCUGGACCAUUGAGUCCCUCCUGACAGCUGUGGGAAAUUUCUUUUCCUUGGUUACCAGACUUAAAAGCUGCUUCAUGCUAACUACUUAUCCUGCCUGCGAUACUGCUGCUGAUCAGGAUUACUUCACCUUUAUCCCAGGCCUUUAUUUCCUCCCGUAAGUGCCCCAAUCUGUGCACUGCUUUCACACAUCUUUUAAUAGGUCUUCCCUAGUUAUUUCAUACCCCUUGGGGACCCUAUAUACUCAAUGCCCUACAAAGAGUGCUCUUCCCCUUAAAUUCCUGAUCUUGCAAUUUCCUAAUAAACUGGCUAUAAAGAGAAGUGGAUUGCACUAAGAAGGAAAGCACUAGGCUGAAGGGCUGCUACUGCUUGGUCUGAUGGACUGAACUGCGGCCCAACCAUACUUAAAAAUCCUCUUUAGUAUCUUCAACAUGCAAAACCAGCAUUGCAUUAACAAAAGGCAGAAACACGCAGAAAUUUCAGAGUAUUAAAUAAUUUUGACAGCUACAAUAAAAAGCGAACAAUGCAAAAUAAAAGGUCAUAUGCCUAUAUAGCAGCAACAAGAACUGCUCCUACAAGCUGCAGAAUCAUGAGCUGAAAAUACAAGGGAAAAGAAAACCUUGUUAGUACUUGAUUAGUAAAUUGCAAGUCAUCAGUGUGUUGGAGUUAAAAAUGGUGAUUAAUUGAGAGAGGUAUUUCCAAUAUACAUAAAGAUGAUUUCAUGCCACGGAAGAAAGUAAUUUCUAAGACUUUCUACAAAAUAGCAUAUUUAGUUUUGACUACACAUAUUUGCAUAAAUUAAUCUCCCUAAAGGGGGGCAGAAAAAGGCUAUGGUGUUGGUCAAGGAAUGGAAUCUCCAUGAUACUAACAGAGAAUGAAAGAUGUUGACUAGCUUACUUUUCCAAAAAUGAAGACCAGAUUAAGGGGACAUAAAAUAGCGUAUCAAAUAAGCCCACAAGAGGGAAGAACUAUCACAGCUGAAGGACAGCAUUGGUAGAAGAAAAAAAGUAGAACGUGCUGUGAGUGAAUUCUGGACGAGGGUGGUCCAGCUCUCACAAUGAAGGAGCUUCUGAAACAGUGUUGUUAUACAAAUAGUAAGGAUGACAGAUUUUAAACAGAGCUUGAUAAAUAAAUGAAUACUACAUGAUGUUGUUACCUAUUACAAAGAAGAACUGAACUUGACACAUGAGAUACCUGACUGUCUUAUGUUCCUGUCACUUUUCCCAAUUCCUCUUCAGCUAGAGUGCCAAGAAGACCGCAUGCAGAAAGUGUGCAGGAGUCUGGGGAGACAACCAUUCGCAUUGGUGCUCUCUCUCAAAGAGAGGCACGUGCGUGAGGUUCCACCAAGGUCACUCAGACCAGCCUGCAGCAAAGGCUUUCUUUCCUCAUGCCACUGUGCCUGCUUGAGUCAUGUCUGGUCACAGAGAGCACAGCAGCAUCUCAGACCCCACACUUGCUCAUCAGCCCCCAUUAGUCCUGGUGACAGCGAUACAGACUGGCAUUUUUGGAUGCGGGAUUUGGAUACUGCUUACUGAACGCUGCUGGCUGUUGGCAGUUAAUUUGCUUGCAUUUUAAUGGAUGAGCUGAACUAACUGUCACUUUGUAUGCUGUUCUCUUCUAGUUCUUACUAUCCUGUUUCUGAGAUGAAAUAAAACUAAUCUCAACUGAAGGCAUACAUUUAUCCACGUGACAGCACGUACACAUUUCCACAGCAUUUUCUGUUACAUCCUGUUGUUCCUUUAUGCUACUCUCGGCAGGGAUUAAGCUUUGUCUGAGCUAUCCAUAGCCCCAUCUAGAUAAUUCCUUCCUGCAAGGCCGAAACUAAGAGGAAAUCUAUCUGUGGGUAUUCUGCUGUUCUUUUACACGAAUAUCACAUUUCUAAUUGAUUUAAAAAAAUUCAAUUACAUUCCUGAUGCUGCUGUGAAGUUUCUGUUCAGGUCCGAUCAUUUUUUUAUGAAGCUGAGAAAGUACAUCAUAGCCAUUUGUUCCAAAAACAAAUAAAAAUAAAUAAAGAUGAAGCAGAAUCUGGUGUUUUUUGAUUUUCUGUAUAUAGACUGCUAUUACACAUAUUAUGUAAUAAUAACCGCAGAGCACUGUGUAUGUGUUACAAUUCACAGACCCAUCCAGUUAUUGCUUAUAUUCCAUGAAGUAGAAUACCAAGAAACACAAACAUACGAUGAACAUUUCCUCAACAGCCAUUUUAACACUCCAGUAUGUCCUAACCAACUAGAUAUUUUACAUCUUUUAAGCAUGAGAUUAAACGCGUCACCAAACCCAUCUGUAGGUUUAAUGGCCUCACUUAAAGUCUUAUGGAGAAUUAGAAUUCUUACGCAUCCAUCUCAGCACGACGUAAGAGCAUUACUG
Long non-coding RNA from Numida meleagris (helmeted guineafowl), 11467 nucleotides. RefSeq lists it as uncharacterized. The transcript has 3 exons. NCBI's taxonomy places the organism in Eukaryota, Metazoa, Chordata, Aves, Galliformes, Numididae. The record is from RefSeq and is a predicted model, not a curated record.